This 495-nucleotide ribosomal RNA is filed under the name uncultured bacterium. Its description in RNAcentral is "partial 16S ribosomal RNA". It matches the Rfam family "Bacterial small subunit ribosomal RNA", at positions 28 to 507 of the family's 1533-position model. The record is from RNAcentral.
GACGAACGCUGGCGGCGUGCCUAAUACAUGCAAGUAGAACGCUGAAGGAGGAGCUUGCUCUUCUGGAUGAUUUGCGCACGGGUGAGUAACGCGUAGGUAACCUGCCUGGUAGCGGGGGAUAACUCUUGGAAAAGAUAGCUAAUACCGCAUAAGAGUAGAUGUUGCAUGACAUUUACUUAAAAGGUGCAAUUGCAUCACUACCAGAUGGACCUGCGUCGUAUUAGCUAGUUGGUGGGGUAACGGCUUACCAAGGCGACGAUUCAUAGCCGACCUGAGAGGGGGAUCGGCCAAAAUUGGACUGAGGCACGGCUCAAGCUCCUUCGGGAGGCAGCAGUAGGGAAUCUUCGCCAAUGGGCCGAAGGCUGACCGAGGAACGCCGGGGGAGUGGAGAAAGGUUUCGGAUCGUAAAGCUCUUUUGAAAGGGAAGAACGAAUGGGGGAGUUGAAAGUGCACGCUUUGACGGUAUCUUAUCAGAAAGGCACGGCUAACUACGUG